This 415-nucleotide ribosomal RNA is filed under the name uncultured bacterium. Its description in RNAcentral is "bacterial SSU rRNA". It matches the Rfam family "Bacterial small subunit ribosomal RNA", at positions 28 to 433 of the family's 1533-position model. The record is from RNAcentral.
GACGAACGCUGGCGGCGUGCCUAAUACAUGCAAGUCGAGCGAAUUUACGAGAGCUUGCUCUCGUGAAUUAGCGGCGGACGGGUGAGUAACACGUGGGCAACCUGCCUAUAAGACUGGGAUAACUUCGGGAAACCGAAGCUAAUACCGGAUAAUUCACAUCUACUCAUGUAGAUGUGCUGAAAGACGGUUUACGCUGUCACUUAUAGAUGGGCCCGCGGCGCAUUAGCUAGUUGGUGAGGUAACGGCUCACCAAGGCCACGAUGCGUAGCCGACCUGAGAGGGUGAUCGGCCACACUGGGACUGAGACACGGCCCAGACUCCUACGGGAGGCAGCAGUAGGGAAUCUUCCGCAAUGGACGAAAGUCUGACGGAGCAACGCCGCGUGAGUGAUGAAGGUUUUCGGAUCGUAAAACUC